This is a ribosomal RNA of Carassius auratus (goldfish), 119 nucleotides long. The record is from Ensembl. Lineage: Eukaryota; Metazoa; Chordata; Actinopteri; Cypriniformes; Cyprinidae.
GCUUAUGGCCAUACCAGCCUGGCUAUGCCCGAUCUUGUCUGAUCUCGGAAGCUAAGCAGGUUUGGGCCUGGUUAGUGCCUGGAUGGGAGACCGCCUGGGAAUGCCAGGUACUCUAAGCU